CAGAGUUCAUGCCCUUCGGGGUAGAUCUCCCACCCUAUGUAUUUAUACCUUUGUUGCUUUGGUAGGCCGUCACACUUCGGUCUGACCACUGGCUUCGGCUGGUGCGUGCCUGCCAGAGGACCCCAAACUCUGAAUGUUAGUGUCGUCUGAGUACUAUAUAAUAGUUA
Molecule: unclassified non-coding RNA, 167 nt
Filed under: uncultured fungus
Lineage: Eukaryota; Fungi
Description: sequence contains ITS1, 5.8S rRNA gene
Source: RNAcentral